RNAcentral lists this ribosomal RNA (1598 nucleotides) under seawater metagenome. Its description in RNAcentral is "bacterial LSU rRNA". It matches the Rfam family "Bacterial large subunit ribosomal RNA", at positions 889 to 2525 of the family's 2925-position model. The record is from RNAcentral.
CUACACAGAGUAGAUCGUCGGCAGCGUCAGAUGUGUAUAAGAGACAGACCAAAUCGAGAUGAACUCUGAAUACCCUGUGUGUAGCGAGGCAGUCAGACUGUGGGGGAUAAGCUCCAUGGUCGAGAGGGAAACAGCCCAGACCGCCAGCUAAGGUCCCCAAAUCAACACUAAGUGAUAAAGGAGGUGGGAUUGCAUAGACAACCAGGAGGUUUGCCUAGAAGCAGCCAUCCUCAAAGGAGUGCGUAAUAGCUCACUGGUCGAGCGAUCCUGCGCCGAAAAUGAACGGGGCUAAGUGUUGUACCGAAGCUGCGGAUUUAUGGUAGGGGAGCGUUCUAUGUGGGGCGAAGCAUUAGCGUGAGCGGAUGUGGACUGCAUAGAAGUGAGAAUGUCGGCUUGAGUAGCGAAAACAUGGGUGAGAAUCCCAUGCACCGAAACCCUAAGGGUUCCUCCGGCAGGCUCGUCCGCGGAGGGUUAGUCUGGACCUAAGGCGAGGCCGAAAGGCGUAGUCGAUGGAUAACAGGUCAACAUUCCUGUACCGGUUAUGUUUUGGGAAGAGGGACGGAGAAGGCUAGCCAAGCCAGAUGUUGGUUACUGGUUCAAGCGUUCGAGGCGUUGAGGAUCGGCGAAAACGAUCCGAGCUGAGGCGUGAGUACGAGCUGCUACGGCAGCGAAGUUGGUGAUGUCAUGCUUCCAAGAAAAGCUCUAUACCCGUUAAGACAUGAUUGCCAGUACCCGAAACCGACACAGGUGGGGUGGUAGAGAAUACCGAGGUGCGCGAGGUAACUCUCUCUAAGGAACUCGGCAAAAUGGCCCCGUAACUUCGGGAGAAGGGGUGCCACAGCAAUGUGGUCGCAGUGAAGAGGCCCUGGCGACUGUUUACCAAAAACACAGGUCUCCGCUAAGUCGCAAGACGAUGUAUGGGGGCUGACGCCUGCCCAGUGCCGGAAGGUUAAGGAAGCCGGUCAGCGUAAGCGAAGCUGGCGACUGAAGCCCCGGUGAACGGCGGCCGUAACUAUAACGGUCCUAAGGUAGCGAAAUUCCUUGUCGGGUAAGUUCCGACCCGCACGAAAGGCGUAACGAUCAGGGCGCUGUCUCGGAGAGAGGCUCGGCGAAAUAGAAUUGUCUGUGAAGAUGCGGACUACAUACACCCGGACAGAAAGACCCUAUGAAGCUUUACUGUAGCUUGGUAUUGUGCCCGGGCUCUGAAUGCGCAGGAUAGGUGGGAGACGUUGAUCUAGUGCUCGUGGGUACUAGGGAGUCAAUGGUGAGAUACCACUCUUUCAGAGCUAGGGUUCUAACGUUCACCCGUUAUCCGGGGAGCGGACAGUAUCAGGUGGGCAGUUUGACUGGGGCGGUCGCCUCCUAAAAGGUAACGGAGGCGCGCAAAGGUUUCCUCAGGCUGGUUGGAAAUCAGCCGACGAGUGCAAAAGCAGAAGGAAGCUUGACUGUGAGACCUACAAGUCGAACAGGGACGAAAGUCGGCUUUAGUGAUCCGACGGUUCUGAGUGGAAGGGCCGUCGCUCAACGGAUAAAAGUUACUCUAGGGAUAACAGGCUGAUCUCCCCCAAGAGUUCACAUCGACGGGGAGGUUUGGCACC